RNAcentral lists this small RNA (40 nucleotides) under Arabidopsis thaliana (thale cress). Its description in RNAcentral is "ATSL143130". The record is from RNAcentral. Lineage: Eukaryota; Viridiplantae; Streptophyta; Magnoliopsida; Brassicales; Brassicaceae.
AAAAAAAAGGUAACGAUGUAGAACGAUUCCACUGGGGAUC